GAUCUCCUACGGGGGGCAGCAGUGGGGGAUAUUGCACAAUGGGCGAAAGCCUGAUGCAGCGACGCCGCGUGAGGGAAGACGGUCUUCGGAUUGUAAACCUCUGUCUUUGGGGAAGAAGAUGACGGUACCCAAAGAGGAAGCUCCGGCUAACUACGUGCCAGCAGCCGCGGUAAUACGUAGGGAGCGAGCGUUGUCCGGAAUUACUGGGUGUAAAGGGAGCGUAGGCGGGGAUGCAAGUUGGAUGUUUAAACUAUCGGCUCAACCGGGAAUUGCAACCAAAACUGACACUCUUGAUUGAAGUAUAG
This 305-nucleotide ribosomal RNA is filed under the name uncultured bacterium. RNAcentral describes it as "bacterial SSU rRNA". It matches the Rfam family "Bacterial small subunit ribosomal RNA", at positions 333 to 656 of the family's 1533-position model. The record is from RNAcentral.